AGUUUGAUCCUGGCUCAGAACGAACGCUGGCGGCAUGCCUAACACAUGCAAGUCGAACGAGACCUUCGGGUCUAGUGGCGCACGGGUGCGUAACGCGUGGGAACCUGCCUUUAGGUUCGGAAUAACAGUGAGAAAUUACUGCUAAUACCGGAUAAUGUCUUCGGACCAAAGAUUUAUCGCCUUUAGAUGGGCCCGCGUUGGAUUAGCUAGUUGGUAGGGUAAAGGCCUACCAAGGCGACGAUCCAUAGCUGGUCUGAGAGGAUGAUCAGCCACACUGGGACUGAGACACGGCCCAGACUCCUACGGGAGGCAGCAGUGGGGAAUAUUGGACAAUGGGCGAAAGCCUGAUCCAGCAAUGCCGCGUGAGUGAUGAAGGCCUUAGGGUUGUAAAGCUCUUUUACUGGGGAUGAUAAUGACAGUACCCAGAGAAUAAGCUCCGGCUAACUCCGUGCCAGCAGCCGCGGUAAUACGGAGGGAGCUAGCGUUGUUCGGAAUUACUGGGCGUAAAGCGCACGUAGGCGGCUUUUUAAGUCAGGGGUGAAAUCCCGGGGCUCAACCCCGGAACUGCCCUUGAAACUGGGAAGCUAGAAUCUUGGAGAGGCGAGUGGAAUUCCGAGUGUAG
Molecule: ribosomal RNA, 622 nt
Filed under: uncultured bacterium
Lineage: Bacteria
Description: bacterial SSU rRNA
Rfam family: Bacterial small subunit ribosomal RNA
Source: RNAcentral